RNAcentral lists this long non-coding RNA (3978 nucleotides) under Sus scrofa (pig). RNAcentral's name for it is "lncRNA (ENSSSCG00000061173.1)". The record is from RNAcentral. Lineage: Eukaryota; Metazoa; Chordata; Mammalia; Artiodactyla; Suidae.
CAGAGCCAGCACAUGUCCUUUGGGGAUUACCUGGCAGCUCUUUGGAAACCAGUCUCUUUAAUCCUGCUAUGAUGCCAAGAGGUAGCCCGGCAAUUCAGACCUUGCUUUGCUCGGAGCCGCUUUCUUUUCUGGCCAGCACUGAUGCCUUACAUCGAAGCUGAUGUGACUCAGCACCAAGUUUGGGCACCAAGAGGGUGUUUGUUAACUGGCAGCGCCAAAGAGGUCUCCUUUCCUUCCUCUAUAUAAAGAGACUUUGUUUCUGCGCAGUGGUUACUUUGUUGAAAAUUAAGAGUUUUGACAGUUGGGGUGGGGGAAGAGAGUGCUAAAUGCAUGAACUUUACCAAGGUGUGUUUAAGAACACUUCGAACCUUUAGUUUCAUAAAUACCUCUGCUUCCUCUGUUGCUUUAUUAGCAUGGGUUUUAUCCAGAAGGUGGCAUCACAGAACCUAAAUUUCACUCACCAAAGGGUAAGAGAAAUUUACAUCUCUUUGUGAUUAGAAAUUAAGGAUGUAACCUUUAGAUAGCAUGUUGACAUUUCAGAGACUUUUUAUUCAUUCCUGUAAUUGGUUAAAUUACUUUAAAGCUGUGGAAGAUGAGGUCAUGAUGGUUUUCUACCCAGUGGAAACCCGAGGCCUGAGAUAUUUAGAAAAACCCAAACCCAUGUUCCUUCACCAAGUGAUGUGAGCAAGACUGGUUUAUUUACUAAUCAGAAACAGUUGUGAAACUGAACAGUUACUGUGAUGCCUUCUUCCCCUUCCACAUGCACUUGUGCCCACUGCCCAUCAAGGUACUCUUGGGUGCCUUCAUUGGAAGGAGGGAUCGGGAAGGCCUAAAUGGAUGGUUUAAUGGGUAAAUCUGCUGAGUAUUGGCACUUAAAAAUGAGUCGCAAGGUUGAGGACUCUCAAACGGUGAUCCUCUAAUGGGUGACCUUCUCACAAUCAGGACUCUCAGGAAAACAGAAGAUGAUCCUCCUCGGAAUCUGAGCUAGGAUCUGGUUUGCUGCUUCUUUCCCAGGCUAGGGGUUGAAUCGGAGCUGUAGCCACCGGCCUACGCCAGAGCCACAGCAACGCGGGAUCCGAGCCGCGUCUGCAACCUACACCACAGCUCACGGCAACGCCGGAUCGUCAACCCACUGAGCAAGGGCAGGGACCGAACCCGCACCCUCAUGGUUCCUAGUCAGAUUCGUUAACCACUGUGCCACGACGGGAACUCCUCCUGUCCCCUUUCUUCAUUCUCCCACACACCUUUGGGUCAGUAUAUUUGGGGGACAGAAGAUAACCAUGGGCACUGAUGAAUAUGCUAUGAAAAAAUGUGGCUCUCUUGUAAAUUUGAGACAUUUCUUACGGAACAGGGUUAUUCUCCAUUUUCCAAGUGAAUCGUGCUCUGUCUGCAGAGGAUGACUUUGCUGUCUCAUCCUUAUUCUGUAUUGCCGCAGGCCUGUGAAGGAUGGCCACUGUGACAGGGGAGCCCUUCAUCCUGCUAGACUUUUGCACAGUCUAUAAUCUGAGGGAGUUCUGAGAAGGAACUGCUGUUGCUUAUGCUGUUUUUCUCCGGACAUAUUUCCCUCCCUUUUCCUGUAGCUUUAUGGACUCUUAGGCGCUGCUUUAUGGUGUCCAUUUCCUCCUGUUCUUUGCGAGGGUCUAGGUGAGUUUCUGAUUUCAGCUCCUCAAGUUGUUCCCCCUUUACCUAGUUCUCACUUAUUGCCAGGAGUUUGGGUGCCUGGUCCUUAAAGGGACAUUCUGGGUUGUCACAUUACCAAAAAGCUUACUUAGCUUCAAGAAAAAGAUUUGCAUACAUUGCAAAGAGGCAGAGAAAGAGCUGAUAAGUUUUCCAAGGUGAAUGUUUUAAGGGAAAAGAGAGGCCGUUUCCCUUUUUUCAACAGGGAUUCUUUAACUUUUCUUAUUUUUUUGCCCUUACAACAUGCUCCCAUGAGACACCUGGUCUCCUGGGUAUUGGCACCCUGCUCCCAGUUGCUGAUUCCAGAGCUCUGCCAAAGUCAGGCCUGUGCAGAGGCCUUCCUCAGGAGGAGCUCGUGCCAAAAGCACCUGAAGGACAAGUGAUCAGUAUGCGUGACUGCUCAUCCUCUGGGCUGCUUUUACCCGUGCCUCUGUCCUCAGGGGGAGUUCUCUGGGAUCUCUAGGAUCAAUUGGAAUGAGGAUUAAAACUACAGACCUUGUUUUGAGAGGGUGUAAACUGAUACCCUGAUGUCACUGGUGUGUUGGCAGGUGGAGCUGGGCUUUCCCUCUCCUAUCCUCCCUUUCUUGAGUCUCCAGAGGAGCACCUGGCAGAGAUGUCAUCUCUGUGUCUUGGGAUACAUGGGACCUGAUAGAAUAUGUGGUAGGAGGCGAGGACUCAGAUCCCACGUUGUGAAUGUUUAGUGUGCAGCCCUGUCAAACAGGGUGGAAAGAGUGUGCAAAAUGUGUGCCCUCCUAUGUAGCUUGAAUGAUCUCUGAUCCCUCUGGAUUUGAAUUUGCCCUCGCAGCCCUUCAGCUGACACAAUAAAGGGAUUACUGAGUGUCGCCAGUCAGGCCCCUUCACAGUCUAGAUUUGGGUUGGCCUUCUCAGCUUCCCUUCCCUCUUCUUACUCAUGUGCAGGCCUACUGUACUGCUUCAUAUCAAGUUUGGAUAAGAACAGCAGUGGGCUCUGUUGAAUGAAUCCUAAGGAGAUGCUCUGAUUUGCUCAGUCUGCCCCAGCAGUCAGACAUAGCAGCCUUCCUGAAUGCUGAAAGGCCUGUCGCAGACUCGACUCUAGUGAUUAUAGGUUGUACAGUCAGGGUACUGAGCUACGGGAUGUAGGAUGUAGUUAAAGCUGGGAACCAAGACGUGCGCGUCUCCUCCUGAGCUCAGAGUUUGAAGUAUUGUGUAUAGAAAAAUGUGCUGAGAGUAAAUCUUAUUCUACCUUCUGUCAAAAAAUAAUAAUAUGAAUUAGCGAGGGUGGAAUGAAACUUAACAGGGGUUGGAUAUGUUUAAGGCAUAGAUUAUGAUGAUGGUUCGUGGAGGUAUACUUAUCUCCAGACUCAUUAAGUUGUAUGUAUUAAGUAUGUGCAGCUUUCUGUAUGUCAGUCAUACCUUCAUAACCUCAAUAAAGUGGUUUAAAAAUAAUAACAAAAAAGACCCUCUCGUGGUUACAGAUGUAUACUCCCCCUCAAGUGUCUUGAGGUUUUAGAACUGAAAGGGAAGAAUGCUUCUACACUGGGAAAUGGGUAAUGCUAUUUACUACUCUGUAUUAUUGUUUUGCCUUGGUUUUUCUAUGUAUGCAUAGCAUUUGCAUUGGCACAUAUAAGGUUAACCUUUAGUCCAUAGGAUUUUGAAUUUUGUAGAAUCACAGCACUUCUGCGAAAGCUGUGAACUUCACCUGGAGGACUUCAGCUCAAGGAGUGGCCUGUGACAUCAGCUAUUUGUCAUUUGACCAGAAAUUGACUUUGGGUCCUGUGCCUUUGGGAAUGGCUUGGACUUUGGGUUGGUUUUGUUUCUUAUAAUAUGUGCUUUUGUGCUUACCUGAGAAAUCUUUUAAAAUAUUUUACACAUGGGGACAUGUCCAGGUGUAAAAUAUUUUACAUAUGGGGACACGUCAAGGUGUAUAUGUACUGUAUCUGUAUCCUAUAGGGUGGAAGGUAGUGUCUCAGGCUGGUUGGUCUCUGCAGCAGGCCUCUUUUCUCUGAGGUCUUCCCACCACCUUCUGUUUUCUGUGUGACUGAGUUCCUUGGCCUUAGCUACUCAGUUUGAUACUUUUCAUCUUGUCCUAGUUGAGCAAACCAUGCUUCUGUUAUAUUUAGAGUUUGGGACUAGAUGCCAAGAAUGGGUGCUAGGCUAGCCUGCAAAGGCUCAUUAAUAACCUUUCACUGCAGAAAAUAUCAUGUAAAAGACAUAUUGUGGGGUUUCCCUGGGUUAUCCUCAUUUCUGUGUCUUUAGAAUGUAUUUGCUGCUUAAGCUUCUUGUAUUUUGUAAAAUACUUGUGUUCUUCCAAUAAAAUUUGUU